AGAGUUUGAUCCUGGCUCAGAACGAACGCUGGCGGCGCGUUUUAAGCAUGCAAGUCGAACGGUAGAAAGGUGCUUGCACCUUUUGAGAGUGGCGGACGGGUGAGUAACACGUAGAUAAUCUGCCUUUGGAUUGGGGAUAGCAUAUGGAAACAUGUGGUAAUACCGAAUAAGCUCCUAGAAACAUAUGUUUUCUGGAGGAAAGGUGCUUAGGCAUCGUCCGAAGAUGAGUCUGCGGUUCAUUAGCUAGUUGGUGGGGUAAAGGCCUACCAAGGCAACGAUGAAUAGCCGGCCUGAGAGGGUGGACGGCCACACUGGGACUGAGACACGGCCCAGACUCCUACGGGAGGCAGCAGCUAAGAAUCUUCCGCAAUGGGGGAAACCCUGACGGAGCGACGCCGCGUGAACGAUGAAGGCGGAAACGUUGUAAAGUUCUUUUCUUGGGGAGGAAUAAGUCUGGUAGGUAAUGACCGGAUGAUGACGUUAACCAAGGAAUAAGCCCCGGCUAAUUACGUGCCAGCAGCCGCGGUAACACGUAAGGGGCAAGCGUUGUUCGGAAUUAUUGGGCGUAAAGGGCGCGUAGGCGGUUUUACAAGUCUGGUGUGAAAUAUCUCAGCUUAACUGAGGGACCGCGCUGGAAACUGUAAGACUAGAAUCUAGGAGGGGAAGCUGGAAUUCCUGGUGUAGGGGUGAAAUCUGUAGAUAUCAGGAAGAACACCGGUGGCGAAGGCGAGCUUCUGGCCAUAGAUUGACGCUGAGGCGCGAAAGCGUGGGGAGCGAACAGGAUUAGAUACCCUGGUAGUCCACGCUGUAAACGAUGUGCACUAGGUGUUGGGCCUUAAGGCUCAGUGCCGUAGCUAACGCGUUAAGUGCACCGCCUGGGGAGUAUGCCCGCAAGGGUGAAACUCAAAGGAAUUGACGGGGGCCCGCACAAGCGGUGGAGCAUGUGGUUUAAUUCGAUGAUACGCGAGAAACCUUACCAGGGCUUGAC
This 988-nucleotide ribosomal RNA is filed under the name marine sediment metagenome. RNAcentral describes it as "bacterial SSU rRNA". It matches the Rfam family "Bacterial small subunit ribosomal RNA", at positions 8 to 985 of the family's 1533-position model. The record is from RNAcentral.